GUCUUCAUCUUCAUGGAGUCAGAUUCUGUUUCCUUGGCUUCCUGUAUCUCCUGUUUUGUUUUCUGAUAAAGAACUGAAAUACCAUGGAGACAAACUCCUUAUAAACACCAAGCAGACAGGGUCUAAAAUUAAGGAAAAUAAAAGGAAAAAUAUUUAAUUCUCAUGACAACCUGUUGGUGACAGCAAAGUUACAUUGAAGUGCAGCUUGCAUCGAAAAGCAAGCAGAAAUAAACGAAGCUGAGCCCUGCAUAUUCUCAGAGAAAGUAAUAGGCUGUUCUGUACGGACCCACUGUAUCGAAGCAAGAUGCUGAGAGCAAAAUUCAGCUGAAACACAGCCACAAAAAUGUUUAUGCAGAGCUUACUGUAAAUGGAAAACAUCAAAUUUCAUAAAGCAGCAGCUGAGUCACAGUAGUUGACUGUUGCUUGGAUUCUUCCUACCUUUUCGCAGAUAAAUGGAUUGCAGUGGAUGUCUUUGGAGUUAAAUGUCAUGAAGGAAGAUGGAAAAAAAAUAAGUAAAGAAACAGACUUGGUUUGUGAUGUUUUCGGUUGUUGCUUUUUUGUUUCUGCAUGUGUGUAAAGAUACAAUAGUGUAAGUGGUAAAAAUGAAGUGAUGGGCGCAUUUAAUUUUGUCUGAUCAGCCGUAACUCUAGAUUUUCAAACAGAUUUCCUGGAGAUGAAUCAUUGAGUCAGCUAGAAUAUGUGAAAUGAUUGAUACCAAUUUUCUGUUGAGAAAGCCACGUUUAGUUAAAAUGCAAGCUUUCCCUAAUGAAAUAAUCUGCCAAAAUCUGGGCUGUUGUCCACAAAAUGCAGAGAGGCUGAAAAACAAAGCAUGUUGAUUGCUAGGAAAUACCUAUUUUUGUUGUCAAUCAGGGCUUUUUAUUUCAAGCUGGACAAAAAUUUGGACAUAAUUUUGUAAGCCUGGUGCAACAAGUCUAUGGCAUUUCAGGAAAUACAGGGAUUGUGUAUUCAGGGGAAAAAAACUUCACCCCAAAUUUUGUCCUUUUUCAUCUUCUUUGUGCCAGUUUGAGCAGAUUCAGUGAUGUGUUUCUCAUUCCUGUAGAAACAGUAUUUUCCCCGAUGUUCUCGCUCUACUGGAACAUUUUGUAGUGACAAAUCUUUAGAAAUGAUUUUAAGAAAUCAUAAGAAAAUUUUAAGAAAUCAUAACUUCCCCCCCUGCCCCCCAUAAAUCGUGUUAUCACUCCCUGUUUGGGGGGGGAGAAAACAGGGUGGAACGCUUCAGUUUUUCUGUAAGGAUGGGAAUUUCUGAAACCUUUAAGUGGGAAACCUGAGAUACCAGAUUUGUCAAGCACUUUCCAUGUAAUAAGCUUUUUCUCAGAAUUCUCAAGUGCUGAGGAUGAUGUGCUACUCUAAUUAACAACCUUUUUAAAGGGUGCAAAGACUUUUCCUGUUUCCUAACACUGACUUGCACAGUUGGUGUCUUCCUCGUGUCCCCUUCCCUCUUCUAUCAGAUGAACUGUUCUGCUAAAAGGCCAAUUUAGUCAUUAUAAAGGGAUUUUCAUAGUCAUGAUGAGGUAAAGCAGAGUGUGAAUAUAUAGGAGUUUAUAUUUAAUGGGGAACUGAUUAAAGGAGGAUUGAUUGCUGAGCAGAUAGUUCAGACAGGCAUGCAUAUGCAAAAAGAAAAUACACAUAUGCAUAUAUAUGGCUUUGUCAAUGUGAUACUAAUUGAUGGAGAGGGUAUGGAUGUUUAAUAAACAUCCAUCUGGAGGGCUCACUGGAAUAUGGAUUACCAGCAAAUCCAGCUGCCCAUCCCCAGUGCCAUUACACUGCCUGCCCCUCAUCGUGUCCUGUUGGGAUGUGACACUGCACUCCCCUCAAAGUGCAGUAGAAUCCACCCUAGUGCAUUGGGAAGAAGGAAAAUAAACUUUUUUUGCCGUCUCUAAGUUUGGAUGGGAAGUCUGUUAUCAGCUCUUGCAGUGUUUGAAGUGGGUUGAGAGGGUAAGUGUCCAUGGUUCACUGGUUCAGCGUGUCCGUGUGAUAAUGCAAACUAAUGUGUGGUUACAGCUCCUAGCAACUUAUUUCUCUCUGCAUUGGAGCACUGUACAGGGAGCUGGAGGUACCUAGAUAGACAUGUGUUAUAGGCACAAGAAGAAUUAUCAAGUCAAUCUAAAUAAAGACAAUAUUCAUACAAGUUGGUUCCUCUUGGUGGAUUCUGGCAGUGGGGGAAUUGCAGAUAAAUGCAGAUAAAUGUUCUUAUUAUUUCAUUCACUGGCAGAUAAAAUAGACUAUUUUUCCUAAUUUUUAAAUUUACAGUUGUAGCCCUCGAUUUUGGGUCCCUGCUCCUGGAAUCUAAAUUAUUUGACACGGGCUGCUGUGGCUGUUGGGGAGAUUGAAGUCAAAGGAAGUGCAGAAGCAGGAAAGCCUCCAUCCCCAUUUCCACUCUGUCAGCCAACAAGAGGAAACAGGAGAUCUGCAACUUAAGUGAUACGUAUAUAUGUGUUUGGCUGCUAGUCUUCUAUAGCUGAUAAAGAGGAAAGCAAGGCCAUGAGCAACUCUGAGAGAGGGUAGUGGAGGUUUUUUGAAAGGGGAGUGAUAAACGCAAUUGCUUUGCCCAAGACAGCUGGCAUGUGAACAGAAAUCUCUUCUUGUUCUUCAUUCAGUGCUGUCCUGGAGACUAGAAAUUAGUUCUGAAAUUAUGUGUAAAAGUUAGCUCUUGUGUAUAUGCAUUGUUGGAAAGGCUCUCUGAGUUACAGAAGCACAGUGGAGCUGAACAUUAAAUGCAGGACAUCAAACCUUGAAUGGGUAAGGAAUCCUGUGGAUGAGGAUGUGUUCCGUGCUCCUGCUGAAGGCUGCCUGUUAGGGAGCAGUCUGGAUGGGACAUGAAGGAGACCAGAGCAAAGGUAACCUAGAGGGAAAAUGAGUCAUCAUUUUAUUCUUCAUUUGUAUUUGCAGGAUGAAGUUGCAGAAUGUGAAGCUGAGCUUGCAUGUGCUGGGUGAAGCCUGGGCUAUGUUUCUGUUUCUGUCAUUGACUUAUCUCAGUAGUAGUUUCUGUUUCUCCAGGUGUGUGUUGAUAUUUGUGGAUGUUGUGAUAGUUACUGUGUGAAGAUGAUGCUGCAAGUUGUUUUCUUAGUGAGAGAACCUGGAGAAGGUCUUUGGAUCUGAGCAGAGCGUGAUUCUUCUGUUUCCUGUAAUAACAGCUCUGGUUGGUUUGUUUGUGCAGGAUUUCAAAUCCAAGAAAUUAGACAAGAGGAGCAUGGGUGUUAAUUUCCAGCUUGUUCUAAUCAGUUUCUUCUGUCUUUAAUGUAUUUUAUUGUGAUCAGAUGAUGUAAAGAUUGACUUGGAAAUGUCCCAUUGACUGAUCUGGUAAGGAGAAAACAGCACAUGAAAAUGUUUUGUAAAGCAGUAUAACAGCUUCAGUGGCAAGGAACAACAGGCUUGGUUCUGCUCCAGCAUCUGCCAAAUGGAGUAACUGAAACUCCUGUUUAUUACAUGGCAUAAAAGAAAUGGAAUAAUACUGUUAAGAGUGUUAUCUUUGGAAAAUGACUGCACCUCACUGAAGCAUGACUAUAAUGAUGGGGAAUUAUGCUGCUAAAGCACACCAGUUUUGUGGCACAGUCACUAAAACAUAUACUGUGUGGUGUUCUUCGUAAAGGCUUUAUUGCAGACACUCUUGUAUUAACAUAUUGUCAUGAGGCCAAAAUUGGCAUUGCUUUUGUCUGGAGCAUUCUGGAGGGAAACCACUGCUUGUCCUGCCCUUUAUCUAGGGCUUAUAAGUGAAAAAAAACACUUAGUAGGAUUUGUAGUCUUCAUUAAACAAUUGUGAUAUUGGAUUUAUCUUUUCCUGUGGGUAAAUGCUGCUUGUCCUCUCCAUUUCUUUGCAGAGUGGUUCAGAUGAAGCACUCUCAGGACACAGCAAAUGCUAAUGGUAGUAGGAUUAUAUUUUGGAGGAAAUGAGACAAGACUGUUUUAUAACUACUUUGCUGCUUGUCAUAAUAACGAGCUGAGUACUGUGGG
Hirundo rustica (Barn swallow) is the source of this 3972-nucleotide long non-coding RNA. RefSeq lists it as uncharacterized. The record is from RefSeq and is a predicted model, not a curated record. The transcript is spliced from 4 exons. NCBI's taxonomy places the organism in Eukaryota, Metazoa, Chordata, Aves, Passeriformes, Hirundinidae.